GUAGUCUCGCACAGAUGCAUAUCAAUAAGCGGAGGAAAAGAAACUAACAAGGAUUCCCCUAGUAACGGCGAGUGAAGCGGGAAGGGCUCAAAUUUGAAAUCUUAAAGGGUUUCCCUUUACGAAUUGUAGUUUAAAGAAGUGUUUUCUGUUGAGGUUUUGGUAAAAGUUCUUUGGAAUAGGACAUCAUAGAGGGUGAGAAUCCCGUAUUUGACCUUUACUUUCAACUUUGUGAUACACUUUCAAAGAGUCGGAUUGUUUGGGAAUGCAGUCCAAAAUGGGUGGUAAAUUUCAUCUAAAGCUAAAUAUUGGCGAGAGACCGAUAGCGAACAAGUACCGUGAGGGAAAGAUGAAAAGAACUUUGAAAAGAGAGUUAAACAGUACGUGAAAUUGUCAAAAGGGAAGCGUUUGACACCAGUGUUGUUUUUCUGAAAAUCAAUUAAAGAACUGUUUAUGCUAAGUUGUUUAGACUUUAUCAGCUAACUGUUUAGUUUUGAGCUUUUCUUUAAUGCACUUUUCAGUUAACAAGUCAACAUCAAUUUCUUUUGCUGUAAAAAAGCUUGAGGAAGGUGGCUUGAGAUUCGUCUUAAGUGUUUAUAGCCUCUUGCCUAUGCAGUCGGAGAGAUUGAGGUCUGCAGCGUAGAUCCUUCGGGGCUAAAUGCAUUUGUGCUAAGUUAUAGCAUUUUAUAGACAACUUGUUGACUAUGAUUUGUCUUGUAGCUUACUCGCUUAUGUUAUUUUACCUACGCUUAGGAUGUUGAUCUGUAGUGCGUGCGC
Molecule: ribosomal RNA, 774 nt
Filed under: uncultured Neocallimastigales
Lineage: Eukaryota; Fungi; Neocallimastigomycota; Neocallimastigomycetes; Neocallimastigales
Description: partial large subunit ribosomal RNA
Rfam family: Eukaryotic large subunit ribosomal RNA
Source: RNAcentral